CCCUGCUCAUCACGGGAUGGGCCGCCCCGUUCCCCUACUCCUUCCCUGAGAAAAUCUUCCUCCUCAUCUUCGUGGCGGCGGCGCGAGAUCGAGUUCGUCACCCAUGGCUGGCCUACCUAUGGGAUUGUAGCAGCGGCGAGAUCCCUUCCCCGUUCGUUCGUAUCCACGCCCUGCCACUGCUUGAUAGCCUCCGCGCCUCUAGACCCUCGCCCCCUCCAUGCUUCUAGAAAUCGGUGCUUGGAUCUGCGCUGCCGUCGGGGCGAUUUGGUGGCCAACUGCACGAGUCAGCGACGCGGCUCCGCGGCAGAGGACGUCGAGGCCGUAUUUGUCGGCUGCCGGCGUGUUCGGAACCGCUUCCAAACUCGCGGGGUCCAAACCGGCUCGACCUGGACAGCAGGGAAAGCUUUGCUGCUACGGCCCCCUCCAAGCUGAUGGUCUAAUCGGUGUUCCUGUUCAGGUCCAGCCAGCAAAGCCUCAUCCAUGCCACGCACACAGGUCGGCGAGACCGGUCGAUCCAUGCUCGGGCUCUCGGAGAUCCCCGGCCGCACCGAUGCGACCUGGCUCCUCUUGUUUUCAGCUUCCUCACGCUCAGACGGAGAGUGUUCGGUUUGGGCUUCCUUCUGUCUGCAAGAUGGCUGAAUGAUCAUAAAAAAUUUCUACUUCUGCCUGCCUUCUAUGCUAGAAACAACAAGCUUAUAGGCUCAACUCGGCCUAUCAUCACUUCUCCAUUUUGGCAAGUGUCAGAUUCUUUCGGACGAUGGUCAUAAGAGUUUUCGGAUGAUGUCAGGUUGCUUUUACAUAUCGCCUUUUUUUUUCUGUUUGCAAACAGUAGGUCAGUGAUGAACACUUCUGCAUCUCGCGUUUUUAGUUAAACAAUAAUAUACAAGUUAUAUGUACCGA
Molecule: long non-coding RNA, 900 nt
Organism: Lolium perenne
Lineage: Eukaryota; Viridiplantae; Streptophyta; Magnoliopsida; Poales; Poaceae
Source: RefSeq, a predicted model, not a curated record